RNAcentral lists this ribosomal RNA (123 nucleotides) under Pteropus alecto (black flying fox). The record is from RNAcentral. Lineage: Eukaryota; Metazoa; Chordata; Mammalia; Chiroptera; Pteropodidae. RNAcentral also lists the same sequence under 1 other name.
UUCUAAGGCCAUGCUACCCUGAACAAACCCGAUUCCGUCUGAUCUCGGAAGCUAAGCAGGGUCGGGCCUGGUUAGUACUUGGAUUGAAGACCACCUACCUAGGAAGACCGGGUGCUGUAGGCA